CGGUUAAGUUAGAAAGGGCGCACGGUGGAUGCCUUGGCACUAGGAGCCGAUGAAGGACGGGACGAACACCGAUAUGCUUCGGGGAGCUGUAAGCAAGCUUUGAUCCGGAGAUUUCCGAAUGGGGAAACCCACCACUCGUAAUGGAGUGGUAUCCAUAUCU
RNAcentral lists this ribosomal RNA (160 nucleotides) under Bacillus velezensis. RNAcentral's name for it is "partial 23S ribosomal RNA". It matches the Rfam family "Bacterial large subunit ribosomal RNA", at positions 1 to 159 of the family's 2925-position model. Lineage: Bacteria; Bacillati; Bacillota; Bacilli; Caryophanales; Bacillaceae. The record is from RNAcentral.